Molecule: long non-coding RNA, 486 nt
Filed under: Chloebia gouldiae (Gouldian finch)
Lineage: Eukaryota; Metazoa; Chordata; Aves; Passeriformes; Passeridae
Description: Erythrura gouldiae (Gouldian finch) lncRNA (ENSEGOG00005002271.1)
Source: RNAcentral
UAUCAUAAGGUUAAAAGUUAAACAGCACUGUAUUUUCUCUGCCUUUUAGAAAGGCAGGUUUGCCUAUCUCCGAGGGGCGAUCGGUCGGGGUUGUUUUCUGAAGAAGCCUAUAGGUAAAGAGGCAUCCAUACGUUCACACAGGAGGAUUCAUAAAGGCAAGGACGAGAAGAUAAAGGCAUUAUUCUGACAUGAUGACCCCUGGAAAAUGUCUUUGACUCAUCCCAACCUAAAACCUACAAUGAAUUUACAUCAUCUAUAUGGAGCUUUGGACCAACAGGUUGUUGCCACUUUUGCUGCCUUUGCCUCUGAGAAGUUGAGUAAAUCCUCUGGCCCCUUUCAAAUAUUUUCUCAUCUGCACUGAAUUUCUACUGACAAACCAACUGAUAGAUACAGACCUUAGAAAUAUUUAUAGCCACUGAGUAAGGUUUUCUUUUCUUUUUUUUUUUUUACUUAAUCUGAGGCAAUUAGUUCCUGAAUAAACACAGA